This 68-nucleotide transfer RNA is filed under the name Symbrenthia silana. Its description in RNAcentral is "tRNA-Pro". The record is from RNAcentral. Lineage: Eukaryota; Metazoa; Arthropoda; Insecta; Lepidoptera; Nymphalidae.
CAAAGAAUAGUUUAAAAAAAAAAAUUAUAAUUUUGGAGAUUAUUGAUAAAGAUAUUCUUUUUCUUUGA